RNA transcript from Carya illinoinensis, 1371 nucleotides. It is a transcript of the gene named dormancy-associated protein homolog 4-like, with no coding region annotated. Lineage: Eukaryota; Viridiplantae; Streptophyta; Magnoliopsida; Fagales; Juglandaceae. The record is from RefSeq and is a predicted model, not a curated record. The transcript is spliced from 2 exons.
UGCUUCAAUCUUAUCCACUUGACGUGUACGUGGUGGGGACCGGCGACGGCUUGGCUCUCUGGGAGUACAGAUCGAUGGAACUGGACCUAAGCGGCUAAGCCUAGCUAACCCGGAGUACUCAUGACGGCGCUUCUUCUUCCUACCAACAAUUGUGGCUUCUACAAUUUGGUUCGGGCCCUCUCUUUUUUGAUAUGGUCCAUUCUCGUCGUAAAUAUUCAAAUACGAUUAUGUCUUUUUGAAAUGUUUCCCACAAAAGUUUGAAAAUGUAGAUAGAUGACAACAAAAAAUGAGAAAAAACUCAUUGCUCAACGUAAUUUUACACUUUUCUGCAUAGUUACGUACGUACAAAUUAAAUUAAGUACGUAUAAUAAACUAGUAACCUAAUUUCCUAAAACCCCCAUGCAGAUAGAUUUGGAUGGCUCGAAACAAAGCCAUGUUAGCCGGAUCUAGCUACCCCCAACUCUCAUAAUUUAGCCAUCAAACAUCUGAUCUCUGAUCUCUCUAACAAGACUCCACUAUAAAAGCCUUAGAUUUAAUUCCUCUUUCUUCACAGGAGGAAGAUAAAACUCUUUCUCAGCACCCUUCCUGGUCGCAUCUUCUCUCUUCGUUUCGUUCCCUCAAUAUCUCUCUUCGUAUAUAUACUUAAUUAUUUUGUGUAGGCAAAUCCAAAGCCAUACACGUACGGCCUUUUUUUGGUUGUUACACAGAAGAAGUACUCAUGGGUUUCCUUCACAAGCUUUGGGACGAAACACUUGCCGGUCCGGCACCCGACACCGGCCUUGGCAAACUGCGAAAGUAUGAUUCAUUUUCAGCCAAACGAUCGCCUUCUAUGGUAGCCAAUGAGGUGCCGAUAACUCGGAGCAUUACCAUUCUCAGGACUAAGUCCACUUUUAGAAACCUUUUGGUUGAUCCCGGUUCGGCCUCAGAGUCUCCAGCCGUGCCAGGUACCCCUGGGACACCACUCACACGAUCGUGAUCAGUGCUUUGGAUCGUUGAGAGAGCAAGUGAAGAUCUUGUUUCAAAUAUCAGUAGUAAUAAGUUGUAAUUUGUACAUAUUGGUUAGCUCUUAAGCAUCUGCAUGUAAAUAUAACCACUCAGUCCAUACUUGUACGUACUCGUGAAAAUAAUAUAAUGGUUCCGGUAACGAAUGGUCGUCGUAUGAGGAACCAAUGCUUUGAUUACCAAGGAAGACGCAGCUGGAUAGCUGGCUUUCGAAGUUGCCUGAAUCUGAUUUUUCUGGGUAUCUCGGGUGAUAGAAAUUUGGAGUGUUAAUAUUCUUUGUUUGUUUUCUUUCUUUCAUUUUUGGUCUUCCUGAACAUGUACUGUCUCUGUGUGUGUAUAUAUAUAUGGACUAUGAUUUUCCAGGCUCCA